This 446-nucleotide ribosomal RNA is filed under the name Velutina plicatilis. RNAcentral describes it as "SSU rRNA". It matches the Rfam family "Eukaryotic small subunit ribosomal RNA", at positions 570 to 1008 of the family's 1831-position model. The record is from RNAcentral. Lineage: Eukaryota; Metazoa; Mollusca; Gastropoda; Littorinimorpha; Velutinidae.
GCAGCCCGCGGUAAUUCCAGCUCCAAUAGCGUAUACUAAAGUUGUUGCGAUUAAAAAGCUCGUAGUUGGAUCUCAGGUAUGGGCGCGCGGUCCGCCUCGCGGCGGUCACUGUGUGUAUUUUUCCCAUCCUACGCUUCCCGGUUGUUAGCCCAUGGUGCUCUUUAUUGAGCGUUUUGGGUGGCCGGAACGUUUACUUUGAAGAAAUUAGAGUGUUCAAAGCAGGCACGUUGCCUGAAUAAUGGUGCAUGGAAUAAUGGAAUAGGACCUCGGUUCUAUUUUGCUGGUUUUCGGAACACGAGGUAAUGAUUAAGAGGGACAGACGGGGGCAUCCGUAUUGCGGUGUUAGAGGUGAAAUUCUUGGAUCAUCGCAAGACGAACAACUGCAAAAGCAUUUGCCAAGCAGGUUUUCAUUAUUCAAGAACGAAAGUCAGAGGUUCGAAGAGGAU